This 335-nucleotide small nuclear RNA is filed under the name Nannospalax galili (Upper Galilee mountains blind mole rat). Its description in RNAcentral is "7SK RNA (ENSNGAG00000008394.1)". The stretch from base 1 to 286 matches the Rfam family "7SK RNA". From Rfam's summary of the family: 7SK was discovered as an abundant small nuclear RNA in the mid-70s but a possible function has only recently been suggested. Two independent studies have found that 7SK RNA binds the CDK9/cyclin T complex (known as elongation factor P-TEFb). The record is from RNAcentral. Lineage: Eukaryota; Metazoa; Chordata; Mammalia; Rodentia; Spalacidae.
AGAUUUGAGGGUGAUUUGGCUGCAACAUUUGUGACCCUAUUGAUCUCCAGUGUUGACUAAACUGAUCCAGCAAAAUGGGCAAUGUCUCCUUCUUCCUUCACGGUUCCAUGUGAAUCCCUCCCUAAGCUGUAUACUUACUCAAAAAUAACAAUUUUCCCAUAGAAUGGAAGACCACUCUUUGGUCAAAUUUAUGCAAGUAACUACAGACCCCUGCUAAAAGUUCUAAACAAUCCAUCAUUAUAAUAACCACCUAACUCUGAGCUUGACAAAUAGUAUUUGCUCAGAGAAUGUUCAGUGGAUUAAGGCAUUGUCUUCCAUAAAGAGCCAUGGAAUAU